AAGCGUUAAUCGGAAUUACUGGGCGUAAAGCGUGCGCAGGCGGUUUUGUAAGUCUGACGUGAAAUCCCCGGGCUCAACCUGGGAAUUGCGUUGGAGACUGCAAGGCUAGAAUCUGGCAGAGGGGGGUAGAAUUCCACGUGUAGCAGUGAAAUGCGUAGAGAUGUGGAGGAACACCGAUGGCGAAGGCAGCCCCCUGGGUCAAGAUUGACGCUCAUGCACGAAAGCGUGGGGAGCAAACAGGAUUAGAUACCCUGGUAGUCCACGCCCUAAACGAUGUCUACUAGUUGUCGGGUUUUAAUUAACUUGGUAACGCAGCUAACGCGUGAAGUAGACCGCCUGGGGAGUACGGUCGCAAGAUUAAAACUCAAAG
Molecule: ribosomal RNA, 370 nt
Filed under: uncultured bacterium
Lineage: Bacteria
Description: bacterial SSU rRNA
Rfam family: Bacterial small subunit ribosomal RNA
Source: RNAcentral